RNAcentral lists this ribosomal RNA (433 nucleotides) under uncultured bacterium. Its description in RNAcentral is "partial 16S ribosomal RNA". It matches the Rfam family "Bacterial small subunit ribosomal RNA", at positions 29 to 507 of the family's 1533-position model. The record is from RNAcentral.
AACGAACGCUGGCGGCAUGCCUAACACAUGCAAGUCGAACGAGACCUUCGGGUCUAGUGGCGCACGGGUGCGUAACGCGUGGGAACCUGCCCUUAGGUUCGGAAUAACUCCCCGAAAGGGGUGCUAAUACCGGAUAAUGUCUUCGGACCAAAGAUUUAUCGCCUUGGGAUGGGCCCGCGUUGGAUUAGCUAGUUGGUAGGGUAAAAGCCUACCAAGGCGACGAUCCAUAGCUGGUCUGAGAGGAUGAUCAGCCACACUGGGACUGAGACACGGCCCAGACUCCUACGGGAGGCAGCAGUGGGGAAUAUUGGACGAUGGGCGAAAGCCUGAUCCAGCAAUGCCGCGUGAGUGAUGAAGGCCUUAGGGUUGUAAAGCUCUUUUACCCGGGAUGAUAAUGACGGUACCGGGAGAAUAAGCUCCGGCUAACUCCGUG